CGAACGCACAUUGCUGGCCCGAAAAACCUGGCGUUUCGGGUCACGUACAUCCGAGGGUCG
This 60-nucleotide ribosomal RNA is filed under the name Bactericera trigonica. Its description in RNAcentral is "partial 5.8S ribosomal RNA". The record is from RNAcentral. Lineage: Eukaryota; Metazoa; Arthropoda; Insecta; Hemiptera; Triozidae.